This 75-nucleotide transfer RNA is filed under the name Candidatus Poribacteria bacterium. RNAcentral describes it as "tRNA-Gln". It matches the Rfam family "tRNA". From Rfam's summary of the family: Transfer RNA (tRNA) molecules are approximately 80 nucleotides in length. Their secondary structure includes four short double-helical elements and three loops (D, anti-codon, and T loops). Further hydrogen bonds mediate the characteristic L-shaped molecular structure. tRNAs have two regions of fundamental functional importance: the anti-codon, which is responsible for specific mRNA codon recognition, and the 3' end, to which the tRNAs corresponding amino acid is attached (by aminoacyl-tRNA synthetases). tRNAs cope with the degeneracy of the genetic code in two manners: having more than one tRNA (with a specific anti-codon) for a particular amino acid; and 'wobble' base-pairing, i.e. permitting non-standard base-pairing at the 3rd anti-codon position. Lineage: Bacteria; Candidatus Poribacteria. RNAcentral also lists the same sequence under 1 other name. The record is from RNAcentral.
UGCCGGGUCGUCUAACUGGCAGGACGCGUGGCUCUGGACCACGCGGUGGAGGUUCGAGUCCUUCCCCGGCAGCCA